GACGAACGCUGGCGGCGUGCCUAAUACAUGCAAGUAGAACGCUGAAGCGAGGAGCUUGCUCUUCUUGGAUGAGUUGCGAACGGGUGAGUAACGCGUAGGUAACCUGCCUUGUAGCGGGGGAUAACUAUUGGAAACGAUAGCUAAUACCGCAUAACAAUGGUUGACACAUGUCAUUUAUUUUAAAGGGGCAAUUGCUCCACUACAAGAUGGACCUGCGUUGUAUUAGCUAGUAGGUGAGGUAAUGGCUCACCUAGGCGACGAUACAUAGCCGACCUGAGAGGGUGAUGGGCCACACUGGGACUGAGACACGGCCCAGACUCCUACGGGAGGCAGCAGUAGGGAAUCUUCGGCAAUGGGGGGAACCCUGACCGAGCAACGCCGCGUGAGUGAAGAAGGUUUUCGGAUCGUAAAGCUCUGUUGUAAGUCAAGAACGGGUGUGAGAGUGGAAAGUUCACACUGUGACGGUAGCUGACCAGAAAGGGACGGCUAACUACGUG
This 497-nucleotide ribosomal RNA is filed under the name uncultured bacterium. RNAcentral's name for it is "partial 16S ribosomal RNA". It matches the Rfam family "Bacterial small subunit ribosomal RNA", at positions 28 to 507 of the family's 1533-position model. The record is from RNAcentral.